This 468-nucleotide ribosomal RNA is filed under the name uncultured bacterium. RNAcentral's name for it is "partial 16S ribosomal RNA". It matches the Rfam family "Bacterial small subunit ribosomal RNA", at positions 28 to 507 of the family's 1533-position model. The record is from RNAcentral.
GACGAACGCUGGCGGCGUGCUUAACACAUGCAAGUCGAACGGAAAGGCCCUGCUUUUGUGGGGUGCUCGAGUGGCGAACGGGUGAGUAACACGUGAGUAGCCUGCCCUUGACUUUGGGAUAACUUCAGGAAACUGGGGCUAAUACCGGAUAGGAGCUCCUGCUGCAUGGUGGGGGUUGGAAAGUUUCGGCGGUUGGGGAUGGACUCGCGGCUUAUCAGCUUGUUGGUGGGGUAGUGGCUUACCAAGGCUUUGACGGGUAGCCGGCCUGAGAGGGUGACUGGCCACAUUGGGACUGAGAUACGGCCCAGACUCCUACGGGAGGCAGCAGUGGGGAAUAUUGCACAAUGGGCGGAAGCCUGAUGCAGCAACGCCGCGUGCGGGAUGACGACCUUCGGGUUGUAAACCGCUUUCGCCUGUGACGAAGCGUGAGUGACGGUAAUGGGUAAAGAAGCACCGGCUAACUACGUG